Molecule: unclassified non-coding RNA, 276 nt
Filed under: Hevea brasiliensis (rubber tree)
Lineage: Eukaryota; Viridiplantae; Streptophyta; Magnoliopsida; Malpighiales; Euphorbiaceae
Source: RNAcentral
AGAGAUCCAGCCCAAUCUGCAUCUCUAAAGGUCUUUAUUUGAAGAUGUUCAUAUUUUGAGAAAAGUAGUCAUCUCCUAGUGGCAAAUUUCAGAUAUCUUAGAAUUCAAAAAAUAGAUUGUAAAUGAGAUUCACAAGGAUCAUGCAUGUAUUGACUCAUUAGACUUACUGUAAAGGCUAUAUUUAGUCUAGUGUGUGAAAGAUAGAUCAAUCUGUCAACUAAUCUAUGAUAUCUCCCUAAAUUCACUGACUCCCCAACUCCAGCUUGCAAUCUAUGA